Molecule: ribosomal RNA, 482 nt
Filed under: uncultured bacterium
Lineage: Bacteria
Description: partial 16S ribosomal RNA
Rfam family: Bacterial small subunit ribosomal RNA
Source: RNAcentral
AUUGAACGCUGGCGGCAUGCUUUACACAUGCAAGUCGAACGGUAACAGGCCGCAAGGUGCUGACGAGUGGCGAACGGGUGAGUAAUGCAUCGGAACGUGCCCAGUCGUGGGGGAUAACUACUCGAAGGAGUAGCUAAUACCGCAUACGAUCUAUGGAUGAAAGCGGGGGACCGUAAGGCCUCGCGCGAUUUGAGCGGCCGAUGUCAGAUUAUGUAGUUGGUGGGGUAAAGGCUCACCAAGCCAACGAUCUGUAGCUGGUCUGAGAGGAUGACCAGCCACACUGGGACUGAGACACGGCCCAGACUCCUACGGGAGGCAGCAGUGGGGAAUUUUGGACAAUGGGCGCAAGCCUGAUCCAGCAAUGCCGCGUGCAGGAAGAAGGCCUUCGGGUUGUAAACUGCUUUUGUACGGAACGAAACGGCCCUGGUUAAUACCCGGGGCUAAUGACGGUACCGUAAGAAUAAGCACCGGCUAACUACGUG